This 1055-nucleotide long non-coding RNA is filed under the name Xyrichtys novacula (pearly razorfish). Lineage: Eukaryota; Metazoa; Chordata; Actinopteri; Labriformes; Labridae. The record is from RNAcentral.
GAGAAAAAUGUGCCUUGACUAGGUGAGUUUUUUUCACUUUAGAUGCCAUUAUAAGUUUAAUGCAUAGUUAAGUGUGUUUGGAAAGUCCUAUACGAGCAAACUUUAGUCCCUCUAUAAAGUCUGAGCACAUUUUCCCACACGAUCUGUGCUGUCAGCUGCACGUUAUUGCUUCCUUUUUUUUAACAGCCCAGUUCCCAACUGUGCUGACAGAGACACUGAUACAAUAUUUAUAAAAGCUCUACUCUCAUUUAGUUGAUUUUAUCCGAAACACGACACCUGCAACAGCAAAACUUGGAAACAGACUCUGAACCAAAUCUUGUCUUGUUGCCUCAAAUCAUACGAACGCUUACUGACUGCUGAUUUAUAACUGUUUCAAGUUUUAAUGGUUGUCUCAUAGUCUAGUAUACUUCCCUGAAAAGUGAGAAGAGGAUGAUGAAUUUCUAGUCCAUGCAGAAAUGGAAAACCUGCAACUUUAAAAGACAGUUUGUGUAUGAAGUCUGUUGUGUUUGCAGCUUUUUCCCCUAAAGCCUGUUUGUAGCUUGGGGUUAAUUUCUAAUCUACUCUGUUUUUUGGGGGGAGCUAUCCACAGCAGAGGUUGCGCCCCGUUUUUUAUUUUUUGUUUUUGCAGGACAGCAGGGUAAACUGGUUCACCUCAUGGACAUGGUGGAGAUAUGACAGGACAAACUACUGUAAAGUCCUAGAGGUGAGAAGCACAGGUCUCCAGCACAGACAGGUUUUGGUUCAGGCACUAACACAUAUUUCAUCACAGGCUGGCUUAGCACAGCUCACCAAGACCAGCCUGAGCCCAUGGGAGAAAAAAACAUUACAAUACGAGAGGAAACCUCCAGAAUUGAAAAAUGAAGCCAAUGUAAAAGUGCAAAAUAAUACAGCUCCUCUAGUUUCCUCUUGAGGCUGGCUGAGAAAGCACUGGUAGGUCCUGCUUCAACAUACUCAAAAGCCUCAACUCUGCUCCUUGCUAUAGUUGGAUUUCAAGCCCAUCUCUUCACGAUGCCACAAAGGCUACUCUCAUGUUUUUCACAGCCUUUUCUUAGGAG